Molecule: ribosomal RNA, 925 nt
Filed under: Streptococcus pneumoniae
Lineage: Bacteria; Bacillati; Bacillota; Bacilli; Lactobacillales; Streptococcaceae
Description: partial 23S ribosomal RNA
Rfam family: Bacterial large subunit ribosomal RNA
Source: RNAcentral
GUGUGAAUACAUAGCACGGCGUGAGGCAAACCCGGGGAACUGAAACAUCUAAGUACCCGGAGGAAGAGAAAGAAAAUUCGAUUCCCUGAGUAGCGGCGAGCGAAACGGGAACAGCCCAAACCAGGAAGCAUGCUUCCUGGGGUUGUAGGACACUCUAUACGGAGUUACAAAGGGAUAGGAUAGGUGAACGACCUGGAAAGGUCGGCCAGAGAAGGUGACGGCCCUGUAGCCGAAAUCGUAUCCCCUCCAGAGUGGAUCCUGAGUACGGCGGGACACGUGAAACCCCGUCGGAAUCCGGGAGGACCAUCUCCCAAGGCUAAAUACUUCCUAGUGACCGAUAGUGAACCAGUACCGUGAGGGAAAGGUGAAAAGCACCCCGGAAGGGGAGUGAAACAGAUCCUGAAACCGUAUGCCUACAAGUAGUCAGAGCCCGUUAACGGGUGAUGGCGUGCCUUUUGUAGAAUGAACCGGCGAGUUACGAUGGCGGGCGAGGUUAAGCCGAUGAGGCGGAGCCGCAGCGAAAGCGAGUCUGAAUAGGGCGCAUCAGUCCGUCGUCGUAGACCCGAAACCAGGUGAUCUACCCAUGUCCAGGAUGAAGGUCAGGUAACACUGACUGGAGGUCCGAACCCACGCACGUUGAAAAGUGCGGGGAUGAGGUGUGGGUAGCGGUGAAAUGCCAAUCGAACCUGGAGAUAGCUGGUUCUCCCCGAAAUAGCUUUAGGGCUAGCCUCGAGGUGAAGAGUUCCGGAGGUAGAGCACUGAUUGGACUAGGGGCCCCCACAGGGUUACCGAAUUCAGUCAAACUCCGAAUGCCGGCAACUUGUACUCGGGAGUCAGACUGCGAGUGAUAAGAUCCGUAGUCGAAAGGGAAACAGCCCAGACCAUCAGCUAAGGUCCCCAAGUGUAUGUUAAGUGGAAAAGGAUG